GGGAACCAUGCCCGCCGAGCUGCCUCCCCACAGCUCGUGCCCCCGGCAGGGAGCUGCCGUCAGUGCCUGCCUGGGGCCUCGGCCUGCAGAGAGGUGGCCCUGGGGGGGAGUGGGAGGCGGUGCGAGGGCCACACAGGCCGAGGGAGCUGCCUGCUGUCCCUGACAGGAAUAGCGUGGUUAUCUGUGCAUACCUUCCUUGUUUGCACUGGGAGCAUGUUGCCAGCCCUGUUUAUUAUCUUGAUGAUCUGGAUGAGAGGAUUGAGUGCACCCUUAAUACGUUUGCAGGUGACACCAAAGUGGGAGGACGUGUCGAUCUGCCCCAGGGUAGAAAGGCCCUACAGAGGGAUCUGGACAGGCUGGGUAGCUGGGCUGAGGCCAGUGGGAUGAAGUUCAACAAGACCAAGUGCUGGGUCCUGCACUUUGGCCACAACAACCCCAGGCAACACUACAGGCUUGGGGCAGAGUGAGUGUAAGACUGUGUAGAAGAAAUGGACCUGAGAGUAUGGUUGACGCUCGGCUGAACGUGAGCCAUCAGUGUGCCCAGGUGGUCAAGAAGGCCAGUGACAUCCUGGCUUGUAUCAGAAUUAGUGCAGCCAGUAGGAGCCAGGGGGGUGAUCAUCUCUCUGUAUUCAGCUCUGGUGAGGCCAUACCUUGAGCAGAGUCAUAGAAUCACAGAAUCAUAGAAUGGUUUCAGUUGGAAGGGACUUGUAAAAUCAUUUAGUUCCAACCCCCUGCUAUAGGCAGGGAUGCCUCCCACCAGACCAAGUGGCUCAAAACCCCAUCCAGCCUGGCCUUGGAUGCUUCCAGGGAGGGGUCAUCUAGAGCCUCUCUGAGCAACCUGUUCCAGUGCCUCACCACCCUCACAGUAAAGUCUUACCUCUUAAUGUCUAGUCUAAA
RNAcentral lists this long non-coding RNA (897 nucleotides) under Gallus gallus (chicken). Its description in RNAcentral is "long non-coding RNA NONGGAT001281". Lineage: Eukaryota; Metazoa; Chordata; Aves; Galliformes; Phasianidae. The record is from RNAcentral.